CUCCAAAUGAACGAAUAGAGUAAGAGCAACAAAUUACGAUGUCACGGGUUUAUGUGUGUGGCUGAGGGAGAGUAUGGAGACGAGCGGGAAACAAAUUGGAUAAGUGAGGAAGGUGGAUUAAGGGUUUCUGAUUUUUUUUUUCAAUUGGGGCAACAGUAGGGAUGACAGAUAAGAUGUUAGAGUGAGAGAGAUGAAAGAGAAAGGGUUGAGAGGAACGUGGGAGGUGAGUAAGGGUUUGGGGUUUUUUUUUUUAGUUUUGAGGAUGAAAAUUAUUUAAAUAUUCUUGACCUUAAAACUUAGAAUCCAUGAUAAAUGAGGAUAUUUUUGUCUACUAUAAUCCAGU
Molecule: long non-coding RNA, 343 nt
Filed under: Vigna radiata
Lineage: Eukaryota; Viridiplantae; Streptophyta; Magnoliopsida; Fabales; Fabaceae
Description: long non-coding RNA (VRAD_LNC016303)
Source: RNAcentral